UGGGGGAUACUGUUCUGUAAAAACUAGAUUUUUCUUAUAGAUUGGAUUUGAGUAGGUAUUCAUAUUUCUCGCAAAACUCAGUACACAUAUUCUAUAUCAUGAUCUUUUUAAUUUUAAUGCCAAAUAUAGAGUUCUGACCCUCAAUUUCACGAUCAACUAGACAUGGAAAAUGAUAGUGCGAGUGGGGCAUGUAUGUACUAUGGACACAUUC
This 211-nucleotide long non-coding RNA is filed under the name Mytilus galloprovincialis (Mediterranean mussel). The record is from RNAcentral. Lineage: Eukaryota; Metazoa; Mollusca; Bivalvia; Mytilida; Mytilidae.